RNAcentral lists this long non-coding RNA (2165 nucleotides) under Sorghum bicolor (sorghum). Its description in RNAcentral is "long non-coding RNA (SBIC_LNC002032)". Lineage: Eukaryota; Viridiplantae; Streptophyta; Magnoliopsida; Poales; Poaceae. The record is from RNAcentral.
UUAGUUUUUCUGGUUUGGGCUGGAUUUCACCACAGAAAGUCCAAGACAGCACCGAAGAAAGAUUUGCCACCACAAUUUGCAGAGAUAGAGCUUCCAAUAGUUCCAUACAAUGAUAUACUGAAAGGAACAGAUGAAUUUUCUGAAGCAAAUGUGCUUGGAAAGGGAAGAUAUGGUACAGUAUAUAAGGGCACCCUAGAAAAUCAAGCCAUUGUUGUAGCUGUUAAGGUAUUCAAUCUCCAGCUAUCAGGAUCAUAUAAAAGUUUCCAGGCGGAAUGUGAGGCACUAAGGAGAGUAAAGCACCGAUGCCUUGUAAAAAUCAUCACAUGUUGUUCAAGCAUCGACCACCAAGGCCAGGACUUUAGAGCACUAGUCUUUGAGUUGAUGCCUAAUGGAAGCUUAGAUAGAUGGAUCCACUCAAAUUUAGAAGGCCAAAAUGGACAAGGAGCACUCAGCUUGUCACAUAGGUUGGAUAUCGCUGUGGACAUUAUGGAUGCUUUGGACUAUCUUCAUAACGGUUGCCAGCCAUUGAUCAUCCAUUGCGAUCUCAAGCCAAGUAACAUUCUUCUCAAUCAGGACAUGAGGGCUCGUGUUGGGGAUUUUGGAAUUGCUAGAGUUCUAGAUGAAGCAACAAGCAAACAUCCUGUGAAUUCUGGGAGCACAUUAGGAAUAAGAGGUUCCAUCGGUUAUAUUGCUCCAGGUAACUCUAAUUUGUUUGUUCUGUUCCCCAUGUGCUUCACAUGAUAUCAUCUAAAUUAAGUAUCCCUAUGCCAAUCUAAUAUUGUACAUACCUACAUGUGUUCAUAUUUUAAUUCAAUGCAGAAUAUGGAGAAGGUCUUGCAGUAUCGACUUGUGGUGACAUGUUUAGUCUUGGUAUCACCUUGCUAGAGAUGUUCACAGCAAAGAGGCCAACAGAUGAUAUGUUCAGAGAUGGUUUAAGCCUACAUGGUUAUGCUGAGGCGGCUCUUCCUGACAAAGUUAUGGAGAUAGCAGAUUCCAACCUAUGGAUGCUUGAUGAAGCAAGCAAUAGCAAUGAUACAAGGCACAUAACAAGAACCAGGAAAUGUUUGUCCGCCAUCAUUCAGCUUGAUGUCCUGUGCUCAAAGCAAUUGCCCUCAGAGCGUUUGUCAAUAAGCGAUGCUACUGCAGAGAUGCAUGCUAUCAGAGAUAAGUAUGUUAGUGCUCAGUGAUGUCAGAGUGCACCAGUAACCACUACCUUUAUAUAUUGGCUACCAUGUGUCUCUAAAUUUAUUUUUAAAGUUCAUAUAUAAUGUAUUUGCUUCUGUUUUUGCUUGUGAGUUGUAGUCUGUAGACCAUAUAUCAGUUGGUACGGUGUUGUGUUGCCCAUAUCAUAGGCAGCAUCAUUCAUGAAUCAUGAUAGAAAUGUUGAUUAUCCUGGGAAAAUUGCACAUCUCCGACUAGUUCACACCUCAAAGUUGAACCUCGCCAUUAUAAAAACAAGAAAGUGCACAGUAUGCAGUAAUUUGCAAAGUUGAAAAAGAAUAUCAGCAUGUAGAAGGGGGCGAAUCAUGUAAAUCUGAGACAAAAUUCUCCCAAUCCCCGAACCCUAGAUCAUGGCUUUUCUCCAGAAUCGAGACCCUAACUUCACUAAGGAUUAUGGCUUGGGGAUGAUUUACCUCGGUUGAUGUCGCCGCUGGGUGUCCGUUCGUGCGGCCUUGCCGGACGGGCCAUCUGGCGAGCACAGGCGAGCUCUCACGCACGAGCUGCCAGCCUGCCACAGUGCCGCCGCCGCCACGCACCGAGGCGCCGAUGCCGCGCGCGCAUCAGGGCGCAUCUGCUGACGCUGCGCACGCGCAUCAGGGCGACGCCGCAGCUGCCACCACCGCGGAGCCGCAUCGCGCCGUGCUGCACCAGGCCAUCACGCCGCUUCCGCUGCGUGCGCCACCCUGAAGACCUCCCGAGCGCAGCCUUCACCGGCACCGGAGAGGAGCCGCUCGGCAGAGCCGCGCGCGGCUUCGGCCGCACGCGCGCUCCGGCGAGUGGGCCCACGCCGGCACCGUCGCCUCCACCCUGCACCCGUGCUCUAGCUGAUUCCCAGCAGCCGUCGGAAAGGGCUCAGGAGAGAAUGUGCUAGGAUUUCUUCCACAAGCGUCGGAUGGUCAUGUACGGUACGGUGGAUAUCAUGCGGGGCCAUAAGUGGGCUGGCG